GCGUCUAACGGGCGCGAUUCGAUGGAAGUGGCGCAUGUAGUCAGGCGUGAAGUAUUCGAGGCCCAGCUUCGAAUACUCCAUCGGAAAGAACCCCGCCGAUCGGGUGAUCCACUGGAUCGAAGCGCCGGCUGCUACCAUCUCCGGCGUCAGAUCGUUCAAAAGCGCAAGAACGCAUUCGGCAGCGCU
Molecule: small RNA, 186 nt
Filed under: Sinorhizobium meliloti 2011
Lineage: Bacteria; Pseudomonadati; Pseudomonadota; Alphaproteobacteria; Hyphomicrobiales; Rhizobiaceae
Description: putative ncRNA
Source: RNAcentral